UUCGGAAACUUGCCUUUCACACGUCACCGGCAGGACAACUGGCCUAAAUACCGUCUGCACUACAGCGCACGGAGCAAUGCGAAAUAAAACAGAAAUUCUGCAUCCACUCGUGUUCAGAACGCAAUCGGUUCAUGCAUAGAUCAGCAUGAAGCGCAAGAGCGAGCGACGGGGCGAGUCCAGCAAAAGACUCUGCGCCUCACUGAGGGAAGAGACCAAAAGCGAUGUUUACGUCCACAUCACAGAUCAGCUGUAUUUUGCUGUUGUCCGUCAGAAGUUGAGGACUUCACCUGACAGACAUUAUUUUUGCAUUGAUGAAGAACUCGCUUAUGAAAACUUCUAUGCAGACUUUGGCCCGCUCAACCUGGCCAUGUUUUAUCACUUCUGUUGCAAACUCAACAAGAAACUGAAGGUAACAAAACAAACACACAACAUGAUACUGUUCUACAAAAUGCUGUCUUCAUUCCUUGUGUGUAACACGCAUUCUGAACGUGUGUUUUUAUGGCAGUCUUGUGCUCUUACGAAGAAGAAGAUUGUGUUUUACACAUGUGGUGACAGAAAGAAACAGGCCAAUGCUGCGUAUUUGAUCGGCUCAUAUGCUGUCAUGCAUCUACAGAAAACACCAGAAGAAGCCUACAGUCUUCUGCUCUCUCAAAAUGCAUCUUACCUUCCUUUCAGAGACGCAUCUUUUGGAACCUGCAUGUACAAUCUGAAUAUUCUUGACUGUCUGCGGGCUGUUCACAAGGCCCUUGAGUUUGGCUGGCUGGAUUUCUCAAAGUUCAACGUGGAUGAAUAUGAACACUACGAGAGGGCAGAGAACGGAGAUUUUAACUGGAUCAUCCCAGGGAAGUUUCUGGCCUUCAGCGGUCCUCAUCCAAAAAGCAAAAUUGAGAACGGAUACCCUCUUCACGCCCCUGAAGCCUAUUUCCCGUACUUCAGGAAGCACGACAUCACCACCAUCAUUCGUCUCAACAAGAAAAUGUACGACGCCAAACGUUUCACAGAUAUGGGCUUCAGCCAUCAUGACCUGUUCUUUGUGGACGGUAGCACGCCCAAUGACGUCAUCCUCACAAAGUUCCUGAACAUCUGUGAGAAUGCAGAAGGAGGGAUCGCUGUUCACUGUAAAGCGGGUUUGGGCCGGACGGGUACCCUGAUCGCCUGUUACAUGAUGAAACACUUCAGAAUAACAGCAGCUGAAGCCAUCGCAUGGAUCAGGAUCUGCAGACCCGGUUCAGUCAUCGGACCUCAGCAGAACUUCACUGAAGGGAAGCAGUCGAGUCUCUGGGCCGAGGGUGAUCUGUACCGACGAAAAAUAAAUGAGGACGAGAACAGCUCCAGCAGAACCGCAGUGUCCGGAAUCCUGUCAGGGGUUGAAGACAUCUCCAUCAAUGAAACCAACAAGAACAUAUCACUGAGAAAAACUUCUGAGUCUCACACCGAGGAAGAGGAUGAGGACUGCGGUGUUCCCACACAAGGUGACAAACUCAGAGCUCUGAAGAGCACGAGACAGUCCAGAGCAUCGACGGGUUCAUUAUCGUUGGAAGAAAACAAAAUUCACACCAUGUCAGCAUCAAAGUCAUUAAGUUCAGAGAAAAAGAGAAGGACUCGAGGUUCGCUCGGAUCAAACAGAGCCAGCAGCCCGCUGUUACAUUCAAGACUCGCCAAGUCUUUAGGCAGUUUGCACGUAAUGAGCCGUGAGAAGGAGCGAGUGUUCUGUCAGGUUAACAGUAAUUUCAUCAAGCAGUCAAACGUGAAGCCUUUAAACCCAGUGAACAGUCGGCCAGAGGACUUCCUCUGAUGUCUCAACGAUCUCUUUCCAGAAGAAGGACAUCGCUUGACGCAAUCCCAUCGACACGCUUUCAGAGAGCAUGUAACUCCAUCUCCAAAGCUCGCGCUCCUCUCCUGCGCUGAAGACCGGAAUCACAUUUUGUUUUUAGUGCUUGUUUUGACGGAACCGCUCGACACUGAACAAAAUUCUAUGAGGAAACUGUGUUAAAGGAAAAAGUCAGCAAAUGUCAACCAUUUACAUUUGACAAAGAGAGAGUAUUUUAGCAUCUAAAGUUGAGUUUUUAUGCCGUUGUAAAUAUCAUGUCAGAAUCAUGCCUUCGCUCUUAUGUUACUAAACCUUUAAAGGUGUUUUAAAUACUGUAUACGGCGCUUUAUUCUACACCUACAGCCAUAUGUGACGCAUCUAAUGUGAAUCUCUCUCUCUCUUUCUCUCUCUCUGUGAAUCAUGGCUGAAAGGUGUGUAUAUAUAGGCCACGUUUAACACUUAAAUGGACUGUUGUUGUUUUUUCUUCUUGUAAAUAAUGCAUAUACCUUUAUUUUGAUGACCAAGUGAAUUUAAACCCUGAUGGUUUCAUAUAUAUGAAAGGAUCUAAAUCAUUCUCAUUUCAAUAAAUCCUUUCUGUUGCAAAUGUGUUUGAGAAUGAACAUUCUUUUCUAUUUCCGUUUCUUUACUCAGAUGUGUUAAUACCUGUUAUUACACGGCU
Molecule: RNA transcript, 2489 nt
Organism: Triplophysa dalaica
Lineage: Eukaryota; Metazoa; Chordata; Actinopteri; Cypriniformes; Nemacheilidae
Gene: cdc14b
Gene name: cell division cycle 14B
Exons: 16
Source: RefSeq, a predicted model, not a curated record